Long non-coding RNA from Oncorhynchus masou masou (cherry salmon), 3094 nucleotides. RefSeq lists it as uncharacterized. The record is from RefSeq and is a predicted model, not a curated record. The transcript has 2 exons. Lineage: Eukaryota; Metazoa; Chordata; Actinopteri; Salmoniformes; Salmonidae.
CUCGCUGGCUGGAUGGGAGAGUGGAAGUGCCAUCUCUCUUCCUCCCUCUGUUUCUGUGGGGCUGUCUGACAGGAGAAUGUGAGUAGUCAAAGCAGACUAACACUAACAUAGAGUUUCUCAACGCCUGGGGGGCAGAGGGAGAGGGGGAGGGGAGAGAGGGAGGGAGAGAGAGAGUGCUUGUUGGUCUAUCAGAGGAAACCGUCUGUUCAUGUCCACCUAGCCGUGCUGCUGCUCCAGUUUCAACUGACCUGAGCCCUAGGACCAUGCCCCAGGACUACCUGACAUGAUGACUCCUUGCUGUCCCCAGUCCACCUGACCGUGCUGCUGCUCCAGUUUCAACUGUUCUGCCUUAUUAUUAUUCGACCAUGCUGGUCAUUUAUGAACAUUUUAACAUCUUGGCCAUGUUCUGUUAUAAUCUCCACCCGGCACAGCCAGAAGAGGACUGGCCACCCCACAUAGCCUGGUUCCUCUCUAGGUUUCUUCCUAGGUUUUGGCCUUUCUAGGGAGUUUUUUCCUAGCCACCGUGCCUCUACACCUGCAUUGCUUGCUGUUUGGGGUUUUAGGCUGGGUUUCUGUACAGCACUUUGAGAUAUCAGCUGAUGUACGAAGGGCUAUAUAAAUCAAUUUGAUUUGAUUUGAUUUAGACAGAUCUGGACAGAGAAACCAUUUCAAUCGUAAUUAUCCUGCAUUAUAAAAGCAUUGACAGGUGGUACCAUUAACCGAUUACAUCAAUAUGUGUCUUACAAUAAAUACAUAAAUAUUAUUUUGAAAGAAUAGCUGUGAAAUAAUUUGCAUAAAGGAAUGGACCAGGAAGUGUAACAGCGUCAGCACUGACACGGUAAUAAUUUAACACUCAAAAGUGUGGACCCAUAUAGACAGUGGCCAGUUGAUUUAACACUGGAGAAUUUGCUGUGUUGGCUUAAGCUACUCAUGACGUACCUUAUGUUAUUAUAUUUAUAUAUUGAAGUUGAGAUAUGUAUUGCAGACAGGUUUAACUACAUUAUUUAAUGCACAUUUAGGCUACAUAUUAUUAAGUGAACACACCACCUCAGACUUCAGUGCAGAGCCAACCUUUGACUGUGAUCUGAUUACAAUCACAUAGCCAUCAUGCAGUAGCUUUCCCAACUAUUUAUAAACACCGUGCACACUCAGGCUCUCAUAAAGAAUGACUGAUAAACUCUCUCACCCUUGAACACAUCAACCUAGAUAACUCCUGGUGGUUUGGUGCAGGGCUAUAACCUACCUACCAUAUCUACCAGAACCUCUCGAGAGAUAACUACCUACCGAGAUGGAGACUGGAAUCUGUGCCUGUCUCGCCCUCUACUGGUCAAUUACAAUCUGUACUGUUCCUUCUCUCUCUCUUUUACAUAUUUUAACUGUUCCUUCUCCCCUACACCUCACUCUCACACUCUCCCUCCCCCCUUCUCUCUCUCCACCUCUAUCUCUCCCUCCCCCUCUCCCCUCUCUCCCCCUCUAUCUCUGCCUCUCUCUCUAUCUCUCCCCUAUCUCCCUCUCUCCCCCUCUAUCUCUGCCUCUCUCUCUCUCUCCCCUCUCUCUCUCCCCCUCUAUCUCUCCCUUCUCUCUCUCCCCCUCUAUCUCUCCCUCUCUCUCUCUCCCCCUCUAUCUCUCCCUCUCUCUCUCCCUCUCCCCCUCUCUCUCUCCCCUCUCCCCCUCUCUCUCUCUCUCUCUCUCCCUCUCCCUCUCUCUCUCCCCCUCUAUCUCUCCCUCUCUCUCUCUUACACAAACACACACACACAAUAAAUCACGAAAAACGUAUUUGAUGUAUAAUACUUUUUAUUAUAACUUAAAAAGAGAUUGGAUCAAAAACAGACUCAAUAAAUAAGAAAUAAAUAUCAUUGUUGUAAUAAUUCAUUCAUAAUUAUAAUUACUCUGACAGAGUCUGACAGAAACAGACCCUUUUUUGCUCUAAAAAAAUCUAAAAUCAGAAACUCGUAACCCCUUUAAACCCUUCAUCAUUUCUCCCUAUUAACAAAAAUAAUUGAUAAAUUAGUCAAUAAAUAAAAAAUUGUUAAAAUAUUAAAACCUCUCAGAAAAGUUGCAGUCCCUCCCACCCACAUUUAUCCUAAAAUCUAAGUAGAAAUUGAAAAUAUGUUUGUGAUUCUCCCCUUUCUUUAUUUCUAAUACAAUAUCCCCUAACGAAGAUAAUAAUAAUAAUAAUAAUAAUAUUUUGUCAUUUUUCAGUGAUUUAUCUAAAGUACUCUCUUUUUGCAUUUUUUUGUAAUUUUCUAAAUGUUACUCUUCUUAAACUAAAUUAUUUACAGGCCAUAAGGAUCUCUCUCCAAAGUUUCUCUAAAUUACUCAUUUUUGUCUCAAUAUUUUUUCCUGUUUUCCUUUUUUUAUUACGAAAUGGAGGCCUUCCUAUUUGUAUCAUGUUAUACACAUGUAAUAGCCAUGUAAUAUGACAUGUUAUGGUCCAAAGAAGUGAUAUAUCACCAUUAUUCAUCAUCUCAUCAAUGACUUUAGUAAGUACUUCCUGGGUCGUGUAUGUAUGUGAUCUUCACUGCCCUACACACUCCAGACAAACUCCUCACAAACCAUUUUCAAACUGAGUCCAGUACAAUGGGUACGAUUACUGACAUAUAUGUAUUUGAAAGUAUGUCAGUGUUUGUGUGUGUGAGGACUAUAAUAUGUACAUUGGUCAAUAUCUGUGCCUUGGUCCUUUUAGAGUGCAAUGUGUGUGUGUGUAUGUGUGUGUGUGUGUGUGUAUGUGUGCUGUUCCCCGUCGCUCAAAACAAAGGUAGUAGGUCUGAGGGCGCAAUGCACGCUGGGAUUCCACCACGGCCGGAGUCUGAAAACUUCACCUGCAAGAGAGAAGGAAGGAAGAGUGAGAGGGAGGGGUUGGGGGACAGAUGUAGAGAGAGAGAGAGAGAGAGAGGGGGAUAGUGUGAGAGGGAGUGAGUGUGAGAGAGAGAGAGAGAGAGAGAGAGAGAGAGAGCUUUUUAGGACAUGGAUAUAGUCUUGUGGUUAACCUCUACUAUAAUCCUCUAUAUAUCAGAGAACAAAGAAAUAACAGUAUAGAAACAAUUCAUCCCUCAUGUGGAUGACGUUUCCAAUAAAAAACAGUUUACCUCUA